CCUACGGGGCGCAGCAGUGGGGAAUAUUGGACAAUGGGGGCAACCCUGAUCCAGCCAUGCCGCGUGUGUGAAGAAGGCCCUCGGGUUGUAAAGCACUUUCAGUGAGGAAGAACGCCUGGUGGUUAAUACCCAUCAGGAAAGACAUCACUCACAGAAGAAGCACCGGCUAACUCCGUGCCAGCAGCCGCGGUAAUACGGAGGGUGCGAGCGUUAAUCGGAAUUACUGGGCGUAAAGCGCGCGUAGGUGGCUUGAUAAGCCGGUUGUGAAAGCCCCGGGCUCAACCUGGGAACGGCAUCCGGAACUGUCAAGCUAGAGUGCAGGAGAGGAAGGUAGAAUUCCCGGUGUAGCGGUGAAAUGCGUAGAGAUCGGGAGGAAUACCAGUGGCGAAGGCGGCCUUCUGGACUGACACUGACACUGAGGUGCGAAAGCGUGGGUAGCAAACAGGAUUAGAUACCCGUGUAGUC
RNAcentral lists this ribosomal RNA (465 nucleotides) under Vreelandella stevensii. RNAcentral describes it as "partial 16S ribosomal RNA". It matches the Rfam family "Bacterial small subunit ribosomal RNA", at positions 338 to 795 of the family's 1533-position model. Lineage: Bacteria; Pseudomonadati; Pseudomonadota; Gammaproteobacteria; Oceanospirillales; Halomonadaceae. The record is from RNAcentral.